This is a long non-coding RNA of Gallus gallus (chicken), 360 nucleotides long. The record is from Ensembl. NCBI's taxonomy places the organism in Eukaryota, Metazoa, Chordata, Aves, Galliformes, Phasianidae.
CCCAAGGGCACAGCUCCGUGGCAGAGAGCAGAUCUCAGCCAUGCUGCAUGAGGGGUUGGGGACAGCAGGACCCAAGUGAGCUGCCUUCAGCCCUGCCCAGCAGCAAGCAUCCUUCCCUCAGUGGAGAUAUGGCUAAUGGCAGCUUAGCUGUAAUGCUGCAUUUCUGCAUCACUGAAGCUCCAAGCCUCCCCCUGCACCCCAGAUUCCUCCGUCUGGUUCUCAGCUUAUCCUCAGCACACUGGUUUUGAAGAAAAUGCUGGCAAUCAAUGGAAAAAUUGUUUGCAGGACAAAAUUUAACUCCCACAUGGUAUGAAAUGCGUCUGCAAAUGGGCACAGCCAGGGCAUUCUCACAGGCUGUCU